This 699-nucleotide long non-coding RNA is filed under the name Mus caroli (Ryukyu mouse). Its description in RNAcentral is "lncRNA (MGP_CAROLIEiJ_G0005637.1)". The record is from RNAcentral. Lineage: Eukaryota; Metazoa; Chordata; Mammalia; Rodentia; Muridae.
UUUGCUAUUUGGUAAAUGUUUCUCUGCAGUGCAGGUCUCAGUCAGUUGUGGACUACAUAAAGCUGUGACAGAGCAACAUAGUUACAGAUUUCAACAAGAGGAAAAGCAGCCUUUUUAGAGAAAUACACUUAUUUCCCCACGGUGAACAAGGGGAGUCCCUCCCUUGGCUCACUCCCAUUUAUUUGUGGACUUUGGAGGCACUCUGUUUGAAACUAAACACGAUGGCUUAAUUAUGGAAAAUAAAGUGUUGUGGUCCUUUUCUAAUAUUAUUACUCAGUAUGUACUUAUAUGCCAGAGUGCAGGAGCCAAAGUCUCACAGGACGGGUUCCUGCUGUUUGCUGGAAUCUGAUGGAAGUGGAUGGUGUUAGGAGCCCCCCNCCCCCCCCCCCCGGGAAGCUAGUCUUUAGAUCUAUUUGAAAAUCAUGACACUUAGGGCAUUAGUCUUCCUGUCCCUGUUAGAUAAGAGCCCAUGACUUUACAGCCCUUCAUUAAGAAUGCUAGUAUAGAGAUCAAUUGAAAAACUCUUACAUUUCUUUGUUAUUACUUAAGAAAGCAUAAACUUUCCUUGAAUGAUAACUCCUAUCAUUACUUUUAGAGGAGAAAGCAUGUUACAUUUUAAAGGCUAGAAUCCUUUUGUGACAUUGUACUACUUUUAACAAUAGUUUAUUUCUUCUUUUAACAAUUAAAUUUUUAAAAUAU